AUUGAACGCUGGCGGCAGGCCUAACACAUGCAAGUCGAGCGGAUGAAGGGAGCUUGCUCCUGGAUUCAGCGGCGGACGGGUGAGUAAUGCCUAGGAAUCUGCCUGGUAGUGGGGGAUAACGUCCGGAAACGGGCGCUAAUACCGCAUACGUCCUGAGGGAGAAAGUGGGGGAUCUUCGGACCUCACGCUAUCAGAUGGGCCUAGGUCGGAUUAGCUAGUUGGUGGGGUAAAGGCCUACCAAGGCGGCGAUCCGUAACUGGUCUGAGAGGAUGAUCAGUCACACUGGAACUGAGACACGGUCCAGACUCCUACGGGAGGCAGCAGUGGGGAAUAGUGGACAAUGGGCGAAAGCCUGAUCCAGCCAUGCCGCGUGUGUGAAGAAGGUCUUCGGAUUGUAAAGCACUUUAAGUUGGGAGGAAGGGCAGUAAGUUAAUACCUUGCUGUUUUGACGUUACCAACAGAAUAAGCACCGGCUAACUUCGUG
This 484-nucleotide ribosomal RNA is filed under the name uncultured bacterium. Its description in RNAcentral is "partial 16S ribosomal RNA". It matches the Rfam family "Bacterial small subunit ribosomal RNA", at positions 30 to 507 of the family's 1533-position model. The record is from RNAcentral.